Molecule: long non-coding RNA, 701 nt
Organism: Felis catus (domestic cat)
Lineage: Eukaryota; Metazoa; Chordata; Mammalia; Carnivora; Felidae
Exons: 3
Source: RefSeq, a predicted model, not a curated record
AACUCAGAUAUGGUGCACCUGACACGUAGUGAGUGCUCAGAAGCGCUGCCUGUAAUAAUAAUAGCCGUCGUUAUUGUUGAUGUUUUUCGUGAAACACCAGGGAGUUUUCUCUACACUUUAUCUCCAGACCUCCUGGACUGACCCCCUCUCCUUGACCGCUGGAGAAGUCAGGAAUGGCUGAUAAAAGCUUCCAUUCAUUCAUGAACACGAUGAGCAAAUUGAGGCACAGAGAGCUGAAAGCUACCCAGGGCCCUGCGGUUGGCGUCAGAACACACAGGUACAACAAGAGAGGCGUCUGUCCUUAGGGAACUUUCCGAAGAGCUGAGGUGACACAAGUGAACGUGUGAAUGAAGGAGUCCAGGGGACGAAGGCACAGGGGUGAACGUGGCCUGGGUUGGCAGCGGGGGGCUGGGGGGGGGCUCUGGAGGAGGUGACAUCUGAGCUGAGACCUGAAGGAUCAGUCAGAAGCCUGGAAGGCCAGAGGACAAGGGCUUCAGGAAGAGCAAAUGCAAAGGUCUGGAGGGCGGUAGGCAAACCAGUGCUAGGGGUAGAAAGCGGGGGAGUGGGGGGGACAGAGUGACCAGAUGUGGCAGAGGACUCACGUGUGGGCUGGUGCUGGGAGCCCAGGGUCCCAUGCCCUUGUGGGUGCAGCGUGGAGCCGUUGGGGGCCAGUCCCGGCCCAGUCACAUCCUUUAAAGUCU